UGAAUACGAGACGCUAAGGCGUCGAAGUAGUGUAUGUCAUACUUCCAAGAAAAGCUUGCACUGUCAUAGAUAAAAAACGCCUGUACCAUAACCGACACAGGUGGGUAGGUAGAGUAUACUAAGGGGCGCGAGAUAACUCUCUCUAAGGAACUCGGCAAAAUAACUCCGUAACUUCGGGAGAAGGAGUGCCUUAUUCGUAAGGUUGCAAUAACAAGAUCCAAGCAACUGUUUAUCAAAAACACAGGUCUCCGCUAAGUCGUAAGACGAUGUAUGGGGGCUGACGCCUGCCCAGUGCCAGAAGGUUAAAGAAGUUGGUUAGCAAUUGCGAAGCUGAUAACUGAAGCCCUGGUGAACGGCGGCCGUAACAAUAACGGUCCUAAGGUAGCGAAAUUCCUUGUCGGGUAAGUUCCGACCCGCACGAAAGGCGUAAUGAUUUGGAUACUGUCUCGGAGAGGGGCUCGGUGAAAUAGACUUGUCUGUGAAGAUGCGGACUACCUGCACCAGGACAGAAAGACCCUAUGAAGCUUUACUGUAACUUGAAAUUGAAAUUGGACUUUAUUCGCGCAGUAUAGGUGGGAGGCGUUGAUUAUAAUCUUGUGGGAUUAUUGGAGCCAUCAGUGAGAUACCACUCUUGUAAUGUUAGAUUUCUAACUUUGAAUCAUUAUCUGGUCAAAGAACAGUUUCAGGCGGGCAGUUUGACUGGGGCGGUCGCCUCCUAAACGGUAACGGAGGCGUACGAAGGUUUCCUCUGAACGGUUAGAAAUCGUAUCUAGAGUGUAAAGGCAUAAGGAAGCUUGACUGUGAGACCUACAAGUCGAGCAGGGACGAAAGUCGGUCUUAGUGAUCUGACGGUACUGAGUGGAAAGGCCGUCACUCAACGGAUAAAAGUUACUCUAAGGAUAACAGGCUGAUCUCCCCCAAGAGUUCACAUCGACGGGGAGGUUUGGCACCUCGAUGUCGGCUCAUCGCAUCCUGGGGCGGUAGUACGUCCCAAGGGUUGGGCUGUUCGCCCAUGAAAGCGGUACGCGAGCUGGGUUCAGAACGUCGUGAGACAGUUCGGUCCAUAUCCGGUGUAGGCGUUAGAAUAUUGAGAGGAGCCUUCUUUAGUACGAGAGGACCGAGAAGGACAUACCUCUGGUGUACCAGUUAUCGUGCCAACGGUAAACGCUGGGUAGCUAUGUAUGGAGUGGAUAACCGCUGAAAGCAUCUAAGUGGGAAGCCCACCUCAAGAUAAGUAUUCUCAUC
RNAcentral lists this ribosomal RNA (1245 nucleotides) under metagenome. RNAcentral describes it as "bacterial LSU rRNA". It matches the Rfam family "Bacterial large subunit ribosomal RNA", at positions 1564 to 2818 of the family's 2925-position model. The record is from RNAcentral.